RNAcentral lists this transfer RNA (70 nucleotides) under Microdous chalmersi. RNAcentral's name for it is "tRNA-Ile". It matches the Rfam family "tRNA". From Rfam's summary of the family: Transfer RNA (tRNA) molecules are approximately 80 nucleotides in length. Their secondary structure includes four short double-helical elements and three loops (D, anti-codon, and T loops). Further hydrogen bonds mediate the characteristic L-shaped molecular structure. tRNAs have two regions of fundamental functional importance: the anti-codon, which is responsible for specific mRNA codon recognition, and the 3' end, to which the tRNAs corresponding amino acid is attached (by aminoacyl-tRNA synthetases). tRNAs cope with the degeneracy of the genetic code in two manners: having more than one tRNA (with a specific anti-codon) for a particular amino acid; and 'wobble' base-pairing, i.e. permitting non-standard base-pairing at the 3rd anti-codon position. The record is from RNAcentral. Lineage: Eukaryota; Metazoa; Chordata; Actinopteri; Gobiiformes; Odontobutidae.
GGAUCCGUGUCUGAAUAAAAGUGCCGCUUUGAUAGAGCGAACCAUGGGGGUUAAAGUCCCCCCGAAUCCU